Molecule: non-coding RNA, 530 nt
Organism: Felis catus (domestic cat)
Lineage: Eukaryota; Metazoa; Chordata; Mammalia; Carnivora; Felidae
Source: the annotation of a RefSeq genome assembly
UGGGCCCUCCCCCUCUCAACAGUUGAAGAGGUGAAGGGAGAGGUUAAGUAAGGCUCUGCUCAGUUGUGAGGCAACAGAAGGCAGGAUCAGUGCUGACCUCCGCCAUGGCCUGGUCCCCUCUCCUCCUCACCCUCCUCGCUCACUGCACAGGGAUUUGGGCUCAGUCGGGGCCGAAUCAACCAUCCUCAGUGUCUGGGGCCCUGGGCCAGAGGGUCACUAUCUCCUGCACUGGAGUUGGUAGUUACGUGGACUGGUACCAACAAAUCCCAGGAAUGGCCCCCAAAACCAUCAUCUAUGGUAAUAGCUACCGACCCUCAGGGGUCCCUGAUCGAUUCUCCGGCUCCAAGUCUGGCAGCACAGGCACCCUGACCAUCACUGGGCUCCAGGCCGAGGACGAGGCUGAUUAUUACUGCGUAUCGUGGUACAGCAGUGGCAAAACUUGUGUGGAGGCUCCUAUAGGAAGGAGUCCUCUGAGGAGACAUGCAUCCUUGAGAAAGAAGGAAAAAGACACAGAUCAUGCUGUUGCCUGA